Molecule: long non-coding RNA, 1601 nt
Organism: Eubalaena glacialis (North Atlantic right whale)
Lineage: Eukaryota; Metazoa; Chordata; Mammalia; Artiodactyla; Balaenidae
Exons: 3
Source: RefSeq, a predicted model, not a curated record
AUUCCUGGAUUUUUGUUUACUUCAAUCAUAAAGUUAGAAUUCAUGCAGCAGAGAAGAAGCAUGUGGCCACAGGGGCUGACUCAGAGAGUAUCGAGGUGACUUGGCCUGGAAGGAGCGUGGAGGGACAUUUAGAAAGGACAGGGGUGUGUCUGUUUCAGCGUGGGCCAUAGUUAUUUUCCUUGGUCUCAUGUCUCUGGCUUCGGUAGAGAGAAGCUACAAGCAGAAAGACAAUGCUCUACAUUCAAAACGCCAUCUCUGCCAAAUUUGAGUCUGAUAGAGCUCCUUCCCCACGUUAUACUUACAAUGGCACAGAGGCCAUUGCUACCAGCGGACGCAGGAGGCUCGAUCCAGGAGAGGAAGACUUCAGCCCCAGUCCAGUCACUACUGCCCCAUCAAGGCAUGUGGAAUCUUAGCUCCCCGACCAGGGAUCAAACCCAUACCUCCUGCAUUGGAAGGCAAAGUCUUAACCACUGGACCGCCAGGGAAGUCCCCAAUCUGCUUCUGACAUUGGUUUCAUCACUUACCAGCUGAGGGUCAUCAUGAUUUCGGACGCACGCAGCAGUGAUCGGUAGCUUGCAGUAAGCAGCAGCCGUGAACAGCAGCUGGAAGCAAGACCUUCGUUCCCUGACCAGGAGUCCUAACUGCUAGACCACAGAGGCCAGUGGCUAGGGCCUAAAUCCCCAGUCCUUGCCUGCCUUGACAAGAAAGAAUUCUGACAAGGAGGCGGAAGGAAAGAGAAAAGUAAAACAUUUACUGGAAAAGCAGAGUACAUGAGGAAAGACACACAGGCGAACUCUGCGAGAGAGUCUUGAGAGUCGUGCCUUUGGGAAGUUUAAAUCCUUUAUAAGGGGGCAGUUUCCCAGGUCUUUGUCUUCCCUCUGGCCAAUCGUCUUGUUUUGUCCCCCUGGUUAAUUUGUCUCAGCACCCUCCCCUAGGUGCACAUGCACCCCUCAGCCAAGAUGGAUUUCAAAGCAAAGGCGUCUGGGAGGAAAGAAGCAAGACUUACUAUGGCCUGGCGUCCCCUGACUUUUGACCCCCAAGGAGUCUUUCUGCGUAUGUGUAGUGUCUCCCUUGCCCCAAGAGGGGGGAUAUGUGAUCUCUUGAUCCUUUACUCAAAUAAGGUUUAGCCCCUCUUCAUUCCUGCCAUGACUGUUAUUUUAAGGCAUCCACAAGAGACAAAGCCUGGCUAUUUACCCUGUUUCUGUUGUUACUUCCAUUCUGGAGAACAAACAGGAGGCUGAUUGUAAAUGCCUAACCUGGAGCCCACCUAUCUCCUGUCUCAGGAAAUGCAAACAGUAGGCUAGUUCUAUGUGUCCGGCCUGAAGCCCACUUUUUCUCACCCCAAGCAAUGUAAACAGGAGGCCAGUUGUAAAUGCCUAGCCUGGAGCCCAUCUAUCUCCUGCCUCAAUCAAGCCAGCUAUCUAUCCUUUCUAAACCUCAGUUUCCUCAUCUACAAAUGGACACAAAAAUGUCCAUCUUAAAGGGUUGAAUGGAACUAACCUAUGCCAUGCGGUCAAAACAGUGCCUGGUGAACUUUAGGUGCUCAAUAGAAGGUUCCUCUUGUUAUUUCUAAUUGUUCUUGUUAAUAUUAACCUUUAUAA